Molecule: ribosomal RNA, 253 nt
Filed under: uncultured bacterium
Lineage: Bacteria
Description: partial 16S ribosomal RNA
Rfam family: Bacterial small subunit ribosomal RNA
Source: RNAcentral
UACAGAGGUCUCAAGCGUUGUUCGGAAUCACUGGGCGUAAAGGGUGUGUAGGCGGCGUGAAAAGUCAGAUGUGAAAUCUGGGGGCUCAACCUUCAAAUAGCAUCCGAUACUGUCAUGCUGGAGGUCUGUAGAGGAGUCUGGAAUUCUCGGUGUAGCAGUGAAAUGCGUAGAGAUCGAGAGGAACACGUGUUGCGAAAGCGGCGCACUGGACCAUAACUGACGCUGAUGCGCGAAAGCUAGGGGAGCAAACAGG